AUUGAACGCUGGCGGCAGGCCUAACACAUGCAAGUCGAGCGGAUGAAGGGAGCUUGCUCCUGGAUUCGGCGGCGGACGGGUGAGUAAUGCCUAGGAAUCUGCCUGGUAGUGGGGGAUAACGUCCGGAAACGGGCGCUAAUACCGCAUACGUCCUGAGGGAGAAAGUGGGGGAUCUUCGGACCUCACGCUAUCAGAUGAGCCUAGGUCGGAUUAGCUAGUUGGUGGGGUAAAGGCCUACCAAGGCGACGAUCCGUAACUGGUCUGAGAGGAUGAUCAGUCACACUGGAACUGAGACACGGUCCAGACUCCUACGGGAGGCAGCAGUGGGGAAUAUUGGACGAUGGGCGAAAGCCUGAUCCAUCCAUGCCGCGUGGGUGAAGAAGGUCUUCGGAUUGUAAAGCACUUUAAGUUGGGAGGAAGGGCAGUAAGUUAAUACCUUGCUGUUUUGACGUUACCAACAGAAUAAGCACCGGCUAACUUCGUG
RNAcentral lists this ribosomal RNA (484 nucleotides) under uncultured bacterium. RNAcentral's name for it is "partial 16S ribosomal RNA". It matches the Rfam family "Bacterial small subunit ribosomal RNA", at positions 30 to 507 of the family's 1533-position model. The record is from RNAcentral.